UCCUAGAUCAAGAGUUCACUACUCAUGGAAUGCUCCUGUGUAAGUCAUCAAAGUCUCCCAAACCUUCUUCACGUAUGUGGAAUGAGUUGUGCUGCUCCUGAGUUUUUUCUU
This is a long non-coding RNA of Etheostoma cragini (Arkansas darter), 111 nucleotides long. RefSeq lists it as uncharacterized. The record is from RefSeq and is a predicted model, not a curated record. Lineage: Eukaryota; Metazoa; Chordata; Actinopteri; Perciformes; Percidae. The transcript has 3 exons.